CCCACACGACAAUUCACCUACGUUUAUGUUUAUUUCAAGUCUCUCAAUACAUAUUCACAACAUAGCCUAACUCUUAUUAAUUCACAUAUCCCAAAAAUAACCAUUUCAAUAAUGAAUGAAAUAAGAAAAUCAUUUGGAUCCAACUAUUCAAAAAAUUACUUUACAGACGAAGCACAUAAUGAUAAAUGCCAAAUUGCCAACCCAUGCUGCUAUUAU
This 216-nucleotide unclassified non-coding RNA is filed under the name Hevea brasiliensis (rubber tree). The record is from RNAcentral. Lineage: Eukaryota; Viridiplantae; Streptophyta; Magnoliopsida; Malpighiales; Euphorbiaceae.